This is a long non-coding RNA of Biomphalaria glabrata, 1145 nucleotides long. RefSeq lists it as uncharacterized. The transcript has 3 exons. The record is from RefSeq and is a predicted model, not a curated record. Lineage: Eukaryota; Metazoa; Mollusca; Gastropoda; Planorbidae.
CCGGUAGUAUUCGUGCGGCAGUAUUUAAGCCGAUAACAAUAGAGAUUUCGUUCCAGUCUGGUUUUGUCUUCAAAAUCAGACACAAAAGGAUAGUCAGAGCCCUUUGUUUGUUCAAGGAUCGGAUAUCAGUUAAUUCUUUGGAUUUAUAUCAGUGCUUUUCUAUCGUCUUCAUUGGAGUUCCAGCGUGUUGAGCAUAGGGAUAAUGUGGGCGUGGCAGGCCUUGAUGUCGAUGUUGUUGACAAUAAGUUUCGAAGGCAUAUGACUGAUGUGAAGAACUUUUGCAGGAAGAUUACUCGCAGCUGGCACCUAGUUGCACCCUACUUGGAUAAAAAAAUUUCUAUCGAUGCUGCUGGCAAAAAGACACCUAUCCAAGUCCCAAGACAGCACUGAACGACCUAGUAUGGUGAAGAAGUUGCGACCUGAAGGUGAUGUUGAGGCUACUGAAAGGCCAGGUAACACAGAACAACACUGUGCUUGUUGCAGAAAAGCGGUUAGUCUUUUAAGGUAAUAACUUUUACAUUUUCUUUUGUAAAUUCAUUUUUAUAGUUUCAAAACAAUUCCUUUUUAGGUGUCUCAACCCUUUUGACAUUUAUUAUAUUUAUUAACAGGGCUUUUUGGCAAGAUGUUGACUGGACCGUGGAUGACACUGAUCUACAAAAUGAAAGAUGAAACAAAUUAAAGAUACCAUUUAUGCAGCUAUUAUAUUUAUUCUCUUGUUUUCUAGAUCUCUCAUGUGAAGGUCUGCAUUGACAAACUAAAGCCACUAAAGGCCAUUGUGGAUUCUCCAGAGAAUCUCCUUUCAAUACUAAGUGAUUGCUUUGGCCAGACUCUGGAUACUGAAGAUCUCGUUCUGAAAACCCUGAGAAAUGUGACUGUUGAUGAAGUAUUUAUCGAGAUCACUAAAAAACUUGCUGAAGGUUUUUGUAAGGUGCUACAGAGACAGUACUUCAAUUGAUAAUUUCCAACAACAAACAAAUCCAUUAUGUGCUUACCCAUCAAAUACAAAACAGAUAGGGUACACCCAAACAAUGUUCAUCUUCAAACAAUCAUGCAUGAUCCUCGCAAGCUUUGGAUACUGACGUACAUUUGCAAACGCACUCAGACUGAUGACAUCAAGAAAUCUAUAUUUGUUAUUUACAUUAUAU